This 284-nucleotide long non-coding RNA is filed under the name Monodelphis domestica (gray short-tailed opossum). Its description in RNAcentral is "lncRNA (ENSMODG00000041914.1)". The record is from RNAcentral. Lineage: Eukaryota; Metazoa; Chordata; Mammalia; Didelphimorphia; Didelphidae.
CUAAGAGAUACAAGAGAGGAAACAGAACUGAGUCCCUGGUACUGCUUUCCCUGUUGGGAGGUGCAGAUGAAAUGAAAAGCCAAGGUACUUUCCUUCGUUAUUUGGUAUGGUGAUGGAGAGAGAAAAUUAGAAGCCUGUGACUCAUCUUAGUCUGCCAUCAUUCAGAGAUUUUUCAUUUGCAAUUAGUGAGUACCUCUUGUUGGAAAGAGUUUUGCUUUUGUUGUAAUCAUUUUGCUUUCAGAUUUCUGUAGGUUAGAAAUGUAGUGACAACAUUUAGCUCUAAU